GAUGAAGAACGUAGCGAAAUGCGAUAAGUAAUGUGAAUUGCAGAAUUCAGUGAAUCAUCGAAUCUUUGAACGCACAUUGCGCCCCCUGGUAUUCCGGGGGGCAUGCCUGUCCGAGCGUCAUUACAACCCUCAAGCUCAGCUUGGUGUUGGGCCCCGCCGCCCCGGCGGGCCCUAAAGUCAGUGGCGGUGCCGUCCGGCUCCGAGCGUAGUAAUUCUUCUCGCUCUGGAGGUCCGGUCGUGUGCUUGCCAGCAACCCCCAAUUUUUUUCAGGUUGACCUCGGAUCAGGUAGGGAUAUCCGCUGAACUUAAGCAUAUCAAUAAGCGGAGGA
This 329-nucleotide unclassified non-coding RNA is filed under the name soil metagenome. RNAcentral describes it as "partial contains 5.8S ribosomal RNA, internal transcribed spacer 2, and large subunit ribosomal RNA". The stretch from base 1 to 120 matches the Rfam family "5.8S ribosomal RNA", at positions 35 to 154 of the family's 154-position model. The record is from RNAcentral.